GAAAUGCGAUAAGUAAUGUGAAUUGCAGAAUUCAGUGAAUCAUCGAAUCUUUGAACGCACCUUGUGCUCCUUGGUAUUCCUUGGAGCAUGCCUGUUUGAGUAUCAUGAAAUCUUCAAAGUAAAUCUUUUGUUAACUCAAUUGGUUUCUACUUUGGUAUUGGAGGUCUUUGCAGCUUCACACCUGCUCCUCUUUGUUCAUUAGCUGGAUCUCAGUGUUAUGCUUGGUUCCACUCGGCGUGAUAAGUUAUCUAUCGCUGAGGACACUGUAAAAGGUGGCCAAGGUAAAUGCAGAUGAACCGCUUCUAACAGUCCAUUGACUUGGACAAUACUUUUAUGAUCUGAUCUCAAAUCAGGUAGGACUACCCGCUGAACUUAAGC
Molecule: unclassified non-coding RNA, 378 nt
Filed under: plant metagenome
Description: partial contains 5.8S ribosomal RNA, internal transcribed spacer 2, and large subunit ribosomal RNA
Rfam family: 5.8S ribosomal RNA (bases 1-105)
Source: RNAcentral